Molecule: long non-coding RNA, 1169 nt
Filed under: Mus musculus (house mouse)
Lineage: Eukaryota; Metazoa; Chordata; Mammalia; Rodentia; Muridae
Description: predicted gene 14461
Source: RNAcentral
CAUGUCACUCAAACCAGCUGUAUUAAGGAAGGUGCAAGCUUUUGGGAUUUCUGUUUGGAUUUAGUUUAGGUUCAAAAGAGCACGCACAGAUCCUGAGUGUUGUCAAGCACCCGUGACUGGGAAACGGAGGCGUCCGAUCCGUAUUGGAGUCAAUUCGCCACUUAAUUGAACACAGCCUCGAAGGGAAGGGCCAUAUUUGUGGGCCUGUCUAACAAUUAAGAGUGACCACAUGGAAUGGGGGAUGAAAGGGUUAAAGAAGAACAAAUAUUGAACACAGCUUUUCUAUGAACAAACUGCAGGCAGCUGCUGCUUUGCAAGAAAAACCCUUUGAAAAGAUUCAGCACGUUGCCAUGGAGAACAUCCCACUGAAGGAAUGUAUAGAAGUAGCAGGUAAAGAAUCCUGGAAUAAGAGAAAUAUUUGAAAAAGCUUGUGGAGCCCUGUUAGUCCCAAGAAGAUGAAACGUUUUCAAGGAGGGAGCUCACAAAGACACUUGCAUCACAUUAUCUCUCCUCAGGGUUAACUGAGUGCCUUCCAUCUUCCCUCCAAGGGAUCUGCAAUGAGAUGGGAGAAGGCAACAGGCUGUGUGGGAACCACUGAAGCUGGGAUGGCAGGGAAAGAACAUCUUAGGCUAACUCUUCAAGCCUUGCUGUCACAUUUGCUUUUGAGUCUAUGGUGUCAGCUGCCUACCAGUUGCUUUCAUCUCUAGAAAUCUGUGACUUGCAGUAUGACAAGAACAAAAGGUGACAAUACAAAGGACAAAGGGCAAGGAAUACAGACGGAGAAGCCGCUUAGAGUCUAGGAUGGCAGAGGUUCUCUUGAUCAUUUCAUUUUUGAGCGCUUGUAGAGCUUUGGUGUACCAGAGGUGCUUGAACAGCUUACCACACCACAGAUGAAUGGCCUUUGGAUUUCUCCUAAGAAAAUGUGGCUACCUGAAAUUCAACUCCAUUUUCUGGUCUUCAAUAUUUCUUUUGUGUUCAGUUUGCCAGCUGAGGAGAAGUGGCUAAGCAUAGCCUGUUACUGAUGCUAAAGCCCAAGUUCUGAACCUAACAACUCCAGCAACAUGAUCCUGUUUCAAGAGACAAAAAAGUGACUAAUGAAAGAAAACAAUUGAUGUGCUAUGUAGAGUUUAAAAGAAGGUAAAGAGAAUAAAUUAAAAGCAACAACUCUC